Molecule: long non-coding RNA, 294 nt
Filed under: Ananas comosus (pineapple)
Lineage: Eukaryota; Viridiplantae; Streptophyta; Magnoliopsida; Poales; Bromeliaceae
Description: long non-coding RNA (ACOM_LNC017971)
Source: RNAcentral
UACCUGUACUCCUAUAGGAAGGUGUAUAUCCUACACCCGUAUGAUCCAACGGCUAUUAUUAGAUCACUAGCACAGUAGCAGCUAACUUCACUCCCCUUUUUAUUUUUUCUUCCUAAAGCUAAACCCUACUACACAUCUCUUUCUCUCUCUCUCCCCUACACCUCCUUCUCGGUCCCGCUCGCUCUCUCGGUCCCGCUCGCUCCCUCGCCUCUCUCUUGAUCUCGCGCCUCUCUCGUCACCUCUCUCGUCAUCUCGCGCUCUCCCCUUUCUCUUUCUCUCGCUCUCGCUCGCAGA